RNAcentral lists this long non-coding RNA (1826 nucleotides) under Amborella trichopoda. RNAcentral describes it as "long non-coding RNA (ATRI_LNC001074)". The record is from RNAcentral. Lineage: Eukaryota; Viridiplantae; Streptophyta; Magnoliopsida; Amborellales; Amborellaceae.
AGUUUAAGGUUUUUUAAGGUUUCUCAUAGUUUGCCUCUUUUUUGAGAUUGAAUAUGGACCGUUGAUUCUUUAAACCAUUUUUCUAUCAAGAUCUUCAAAUAAAUUGAAUAUUAUUUAAAUAUUAUUCAUUCCAUAAAAUAGCAUAUUAUUUCUCAUAUUAUUCAAAGAUAUGUCAAGUCAAGAUAUGAUUUCAAUAUUUAUGAUAAGAUGUGGUCAAACUUUUCCAUAUCUAAUAUUAUAUCACAUGUCACAAUAUACCUUUCCUAAAUUUGAAUAACUUUGACAACAAAGAAAACAACCAAGAGGUGAGGCGUGCCACCUAUGUGUGGCACGUGUGGGCUCCACCUACAUGGUAGGUGGUGGGCCCAUGUGCACUAUGGGUCCCCAUGAUAUUUAACAAAUUAAUUUCUAAAAUAUUAUUUGAAUUUUAUACUUUUGUAAAAUCAAUAACUUUAUUUUUAUAAAUCCAAAAAUUAUAAAUAAAAUAUCAGAAGACUCAUAAAAAUUAAAAUAAUAAUUCUAAAACAAUUUCUAUCAUCAAACAAACAUACUUAAAUUAAUAUGAUGGAAAAUUGAUCCAUAUGAUUUAGGAAUUGAAUUAACAAUCAUAGGGCACUCCACUUUCAACUGUUGACUAUAGACCACACUUGCUUUAUCAGACCGACCCAGUGUUUCCCAUGACCCACAGUCCAAGCAAGGCUCAUUAGCGGAUCACUAGAGUCUGGCCGAUGAGCCAAGGUGUUACAAUCCCAGUCUGUGGAUUUCAGGUCCUCUCCUAGAGACAAAUCAAGGUCACCAAGUCCUUAUGCGACCACAGCUCUAUGGCGCAUAAGAUUAUCUCUCGCACAUGCAUACGCUUCACCAUAAAAGAUGGAUAUCUGGCUUUCUCGAAUGAUCUAUCGAUAUAUAUGUCGUGUGAUGGAUCAUGGAUGAGGUUUUGACCCAUGUCUUUGUAGGCCCACCAUCACACACAAGGGUCACACAGUCCCUCGGCUCAUUCAUCUAGGCAUAAGCUUCGACAUCAUCAAGGGAUAACCCAGAACCCUUCUCAGUUUGUUCUCUAUGCCCAGAUACCUUAGAUUUUCCAACCGACUGGCCUAGAUCGUCAAGCACAAUCCGGUAUUAGCAAACAUCAAUUGCUUAAUAUGGUCCACGAGGAACCACACUCCCAUUGAGUUCAUGUUCUACUAUAUUAUUUCAUUUUACAAUCACUCAUAAUGCUUUUAAAGGCCACAGAAGCCCAACACUAAGCUCCUACAACAUAACCAACCUGCCCCCUCCAAUGGAGAGCCCAUCGCAUUGGCUAAGGUAAGUAAUCCUAGCAACCAAGUUGCCCCAGAUGACAACAAGGUCAAAAAUGAUGUUCUUGCGCAUCUUAGAAGGUUGCUAGCAUUGUUGAGUGGCUAUGAUGCGUCGAUGCUUUCCAAAGAAACUAGAAUGACGCUCAUCCCAUGUAAAGCACAUUGAAGUGUAUUUGGCUUUGCUUGCUCGGGUGACGACUUUGUGUAGGACUCCAAGUUCCACAAUCGGCCAUUAUUCUUGUGAGGGCAACUACAUGUCCAACCAAUGACCACAAUUAUGUUGGAUGUGUUAGAAACUGUAUUUUUAUAUAAUUACGCCUUAAGGCCCAUUAAAGAUGUAUUAUUAGCUUAUCGAAUAUGUGAACAAGAGCCCCAAUUUAUAGGGUUAUAAUGUUAUGUACACUACUAAGAAACUAACAUAGGUAAUGAAUUACUUUCUUUAUAUGGGUACACAUAAAAUGAAAGAAAAUAUUGUUCCCAAAAAUAAGUGCACAUUUCUAUAUUUCCUCACUCCCCCUCAAACUC